Molecule: unclassified non-coding RNA, 334 nt
Filed under: soil metagenome
Description: partial contains 5.8S ribosomal RNA, internal transcribed spacer 2, and large subunit ribosomal RNA
Rfam family: 5.8S ribosomal RNA (bases 1-120)
Source: RNAcentral
GAUGAAGAACGCAGCGAAAUGCGAUAAGUCAUGUGAAUUGCAGAAUUCAGUGAAUCAUCGAAUCUUUGAACGCACAUUGCGCCCGCCAGUAUUCUGGCGGGCAUGCCUGUUCGAUCGUCAUUUCAACCAUCAAGCCCUGCUUGCGUUGGGGUCCUGCGGCUGCCCGCAGGCCCUGAAAACCAGUGGCGGGCUCGCUAGUCACACCGAGCGCAGUAAUACAUCUCGCUUUGGGCGUGCGGCGGGUUCUUGCCGUUAACCACCCCCUUUUUACCAAGGUUGACCUCGGAUCAGGUAGGAAUACCCGCUGAACUUAAGCAUAUCAAUAAGCGGAGGA